GUUGUCUCAGCUGUGAGAGAUGCUUUGGCAGACAAGCUUCAGCUGGCAGCACCUUCAAGGAUGGCUUCAGCUCCACAGAACUUCCUCACCGAAGGUCAUGUCCUUCAGAGGGUAGCCCACAUCAAAUGACGGUGGAGGAGGGUAGACAACUGUCAGACCAUUUCAGCCCAACGAAGGACAACUGUAACGGGUUGUUUUAGCCCAAGCUUCCGCAUGAAGUUGGAACUGCUCCUACUGCCAGAUCCUUCUUCCUGCCUCCCCUUUCCAUGAGCGCUGAUGAGUCUUAGAGUCCAUCUCAGCGUCCUUCCUGGAGAACCCGACUCGUGAGACAUGGGUGGUUAAAAACACAUCUCUGCAUCAGUAAUGACCUAGCUUCUCCACGUACUCAAGGAGGAUCAGGAGUAUGACUACAUUUCACUGUGCAGUGCCCCAAGGUCUUUCCAAGUGCCUAACCAGGUUCAACGAAUUUGCUGCUAUCCUGAGACUGAUUCUCAGUAGACACAAAGGACUGGCGCACACACUAUCAUAUGGCAGGAUGCGAUGGAAUGGGAAGGUCCUCAUUAUUUCCAAGUUUUUUUGCAGACAUUCGCACAUACUGGAGAGGCAUCAAAAGGCUGUCCGGGCUUGCCUCCUUCCUUUAAUCGUGGGUCGGUCAUUUUACAUAAGGGCCAUGUUGAUAUUCCGCAAUUCUAUAAAAGUUAUCACGUGCAAAAAGAAUCAGCAGUAGGUUCAGCAGUGAUCUGUGAUGAUGAUGGUAAAAAAAGAUGUCUGUAUUCUGUAUGACAGAAAAGGAGUCACAUAAAUUCAUGAAGAUUCAUGUGGUAAUGAGUUUGAGAAGAACUGAAAAUGCUGUGCUAAUGGCCAUAGACUGCCCUUAAAUGAGUGUAUAACCUUUCCUCCGACCUCAAUAGCACACUCUUUAUUUGAAGAAAAAGUGCAUUUGGAAUGCAUACAGCAUGGAGAACAACAGCCUUUCUCGGACACAGAGCCUCAGUGAGAACACAGACGGGAGGAAGCUGCCAUGGGUUAAACCAAUUACCCUACGCUCAACUUAAUUGCAGAAUAAUUUAUAGAAGCCAAGAAAUGUUAAUUGAACAAUGAAUCACUUAGACUGAAGGAUAAAAUGCAUGUGGAUUGAUCACUAGAAAGCAAACAAAAGAUUGAAAAGAGCUUAGGAGGACUUGAGUACCUUGAAACUUAAAGCCACUAAAUAAAGAACUCCAUGACAGCAGGACUGUCAAAUGCUGGAGCAAGAAACUGAAAGAGGGUGUUAAGUCCCAGGGCUUGGCCUGGAGAGCAUCAGGUGUUUGUGCUUAUGUUUGUUCUCUCACGGAAGUAGGAAAUUGGACUAGGAGUAUUAACAUAUUUUUUUUAACCGUGUUCUUUAGAAACUGUUUCUUUUUUCCCUUAGGUAUGCUACCCUUAAGAAAUUAAGACAACUGUCAUUUCAAUGUUUGGAACACACUGGGUGUAGUGGGCAUUAGUUAAUUUCCUACACAGCUCAAGAAGCUUUUGAUGGCAUGGCUGAUGAGAGAAAAGAGUCACGCCCGGUCAUCAGGCCAACAGAACUUGGUUCAAAAUUAAACACAAAUCUGAGCGCGAUGCCUGAAGGGAAUUCUGGUCAAAUAGUGUCACUGCAAGUUUGCCAGAUUAAGUAGUGCGACGGCAUCAAGAAAAGGAGAGUGAAUAGCAAAACACUCAAUUGAGUUAAGAUCUGCCAUCAUCCUUGUAUGUCACUGAAAAUAUAAUUGUAGUUAUCUAAGAGAAAUCUUUAUUAUUUUUCUAAGCAGGGAAUAAUUUAGGAACUUUGAUAAAGUUUUGUUCGUUUUUAAGAUAAUGUAUGACUGGAUCACAGUUUUCUAGUUUUCUAACUCUCUCGGUGUUCUACGGCUCCUGGUGAAGUAACCCAACAGCCUUACUUCAAUCUUUAACUGACGUCAGAAUGAAAUAUUCUCUGACCCUUGAUUUUCCCUGGGAGACAGCAUGGAAUAGUUGGGAGACACGGGAAAUCAGAAAAAGUUCUGGCUCUGCCCUUCUUAACUAUUAACCACAAGCAAUAACUACCUCUAAUCUUCAGCUUCCUCAUCUUUUGCAUCUCAGAUAUUCUUCAUCAGCUUGUUGUAGAGAUUAAAUGAGUUAAUAAAAGUAGAUUGUUUUGCACAGUGCCUGGCAUACAAAAGGAGGAAAAGUCUGGAAGCUCUUUUCUCCCUUCCCUGCAUCUGUGAUGGAAGAUUUUUUCAAACACAAAUCACCCAGAACUGACUAAACUAGGUGAUUUAU
Long non-coding RNA from Equus asinus (donkey), 2280 nucleotides. The record is from Ensembl. Lineage: Eukaryota; Metazoa; Chordata; Mammalia; Perissodactyla; Equidae.